RNA transcript from Ictalurus punctatus (channel catfish), 3453 nucleotides. It is a transcript of the gene named zinc finger protein 207, a, with no coding region annotated. The record is from RefSeq and is a predicted model, not a curated record. The transcript has 13 exons. Lineage: Eukaryota; Metazoa; Chordata; Actinopteri; Siluriformes; Ictaluridae.
GGUCGUACACUUUCAUACACUUCCGUCUGCGCCAUUUUCUGCUGCCAAAUGUUCGGUCCCUGUACCGCGUCUUGGUGAUUCACAAACAAAUCGUCCACUACAGUACUAAAACAUGGGAAGGAAAAAGAAGAAGCAGAUGAAGCCGUGGUGUUGGUAUUGUAAUAGAGAUUUUGAUGAUGAGAAGAUUCUUAUUCAGCACCAGAAGGCCAAACAUUUUAAGUGUCACAUAUGCCAUAAAAAGCUAUACACGGGUCCAGGCCUGGCCAUCCACUGUAUGCAGGUUCACAAAGAAACAAUCGAUGGUGUUCCCAAUGCAAUACCUGGAAGAACAGACAUUGAACUGGAAAUUUAUGGGAUGGAGGGUAUUCCAGAGAAAGAUAUGGAAGAAAGGAGACGGGUGCUCGAGCAGAAAACUCAGGAAAAUCAGAAAAAGAAACAGAACCAAGAUGACUCAGAUGAGGAUGAUGAUGAUGAAGAGGCAGGACCCUCAUUCCAGCAGGCAACAGCACAGCCUCCGGCUGCGUACGCUCCUAUGGCACAGCCUGGAAUGGCACCUGUGCCCACACCAGGAAUGCCACCUGGGAGCUACUCAGGAAUGCCACCAAUGAUGCCUGCAGUCCCUCCCAUGAUGCCAGGGAUGCCCCCAGUCAUGCCAGGAAUGCCACCUGGCAUGAUGCCCAUGGGUGGGAUGAUGCCACCUGGACCAGGAAUGCCUCCGAUGAUGCCAGGCAUGCCACCAGGCAUGCCCCCUCCUAUGGGUCAUCGUCCAGGUAUGAACCACAUGCCACAGGCUCCUGCCUCCACCACGUCAGGCAUGAUCCCAAGAGCAGCCACACCUGCAGCCACAGUGGCUGCUCCACAGCCUGUUGUCACCAAGCCCUUGUUCCCUAGUGCAGGACAGAUGGGGACUCGAGCUCCCAGCACAAGCUCAGCCUCCUCCAGUAUGGACACUUUGUCAGCACCCUCUAAGCCGCUGUCGCAAGCUCAGCAGGGGGUGCCUGGGGCAGCAGUCGGGCUUUCAGCCUCCUCUUCUGCUGCUCCCAAAGCCACAUUCCCAGCCUACAGCCAGCCUGCACCCUCUGCUGCCAACACAGGCAGCACUGUGGCCAAACCUGCGACCCCCAUUACAAGUAAGCCUGCCACCCUCACCACAACCAGUGCAACCAGUAAGUUGAUCCACCCUGAUGAGGAUAUCUCUCUGGAGGAGCUGCGCGCUCAAUUACCACGCUACCAGUGUAAGAUCCCUAGUACAGCGCAGGCGCACAUCAGCACUCCUCCUGUUGGGCCAAUGGGAGGUGUGAUGCCUGCUCAGCAGGGUGCUUCUUCACAGCAGCCAGGAACCAGGCAUCCCAUGCAUGGGCCAUAUGGUACCCCAUCCCAGGCAGUGCCUGGCUAUGUGCCAGGGGCAAUGUCACCUUACGGGCAAGGCCCCCCAAUGGUUCCUCCUUACCAGGGAGCUCCCCCAAGGCCGCCCAUGGCCAUGAGGCCUCCUGUAAUGUCCCAGGGAGGCCGUUAUUGAAGCUCAAACACCAGUCUCCGAUAGGUUUUUAGAAGUGAAGUUUAGUAAAUAUGGUUCGUAAUAAUUUGAAGCGGCUGGAGUAACGUGAACAGUACUGCACCUUUUAUCAAGCGAUGCCAUGGGACCGGCUGAGGUUGAGUCUCACUGGUGCCCUGUUCAGGCUGAGGCAAGUCUCAUAUUUUUCUCUUUAAAUUCUUUCGAGCGGGGGGCCCUCACAGCCUCAUGGCUGUUGGAUUCCAAUGUCCCCAAACUUGUAGCAAGUUUGGUGAUGGCCCCUGUUAUUAUUCACAUUAGAGAAAACCUAUAACUAACCUCUUCUGCUUUUGUUUCCGAAGUUCAGAGGUGGGAACGAGUAACAAGUAAGUUUCAAGUCUUGAUAAUCGAGUCCCGAGUUAAGAUAGAGGAGUCGAAAUGCGUUCCUUCCCAAAUUGAAUCCCAUUUCAAAAUUUAACAUUAAAAAGGAAAUGUGUAGUGUAUUAAAGCCAUGGUAAAGUAUUUAACUGUUAACAACAGAAUAAACAAAAAUGUAUUUUUUAACCACACAUAAAAUGACCUGUAAUGAUGAUUAAAAAGAAAAAAAAAGUGUAAGCAAAUUUUCAUGUGAUUUGGAAUCGACCCUGCAGUGGUAUAUGGCAUUAAAGGCACUUAUUUGUUUGCUUUCGCUUCACAAAAUCUGUAAAAUAACCCUUUGUAAUUUCAUUUUUUCUUUUCACAAACCUAUAAUAUGCAUCUUGCACACUGAAAUAAUACAGUAAUAUUGCUUGGGGAUGUAAAACGCCAGCCCUGGUGGGAUACAGCCUUACAGAUAUUAGUUUUUCCUCUUCUAAUACACCGAUUAUAGUCCAUGAAGGUCUCUGUAAGCCUGAUUAAUUUGUCCAGGUGUGUUUAAAUAUAGAUUAAAUGCAAAACUUUUUACAGCCCUCCAGAACUGGAGUCUGACAAACCUAAAUUAAUAAUAUUCAUCAACACUACUCGGUUGGUGAAUAGCUUAACUUUAAGGUGAAAGUAAUGGUGCUCUCCUUUAGGAAUUGUGGUUAAAAUAUCUUUCCUACUGUCCAACACUGCCAACAUACAAGUGUAGUACACAAAUUAUUUUACUUACCAUUGAGAUUGCUAAAAGCAGAUCCUUCUUACCUGAUAUUGGUCAACUUGAAUGCUCAAGUUUCUUAAGUUAUCAGAUAAAACUGGCACUUAAAUAACCACUAAAACGUAUAUUUCUUAAUUGUUUAUGUAGGUCUAACCAUACUGUUCUUUAUGUAGCCUCUAAGGCCAAAUGAGAUUGGAGGUAAUGCUUGAAUCAAAUUUUUUAGCAACAUUUAUUGUUAACGGUGUAGACUUAAAGUUUGGUAGCAUGUUUCAACCUGCUCAAGUGUACCUUUAUUUAAACACUGGCAUCAUCCCUCCAAGCCCAAGUUAUUGGUGUUAGUCAAGUUGUAGCUUUAAAUUAUUUUUAGGUUGAGUCUUUAGACAUUUUAAUUUGUGACUCCAAGCCAUUUGUCUUGAGUCCACUCUUCUGCUACCCAGUUCUCUAGGUGCUAGUGACUAGCAGAUGUAAUGUACUAAUUUUUCUAACUUUCAUAGAGUCCGCAAACAUAUUUUUUUUAACUCGGUAUUCAGGUAUGUGGUGCCUGUAUUGGAGCAGGUAGGUAUAUUUACAUUUACAAAAACCCAAGCUAAUUUCUAAGCUUAGGUACGAUGCAGCCAAUAAAGUGUUUUCUAAAAUGGCACUAAAGGAAUACUCACUUAUACAGUAUGCACUAGCAAUUUCUUUAAGAUAAUACAUGACGUUUGCAGUGCUGUUUGUUGGUCUUGCUCUUCCUGUUUGUUUUGCAUCAGAUCUGAUCACAUUACCUGUUGUAGGUAAGUGUCAUUGUCACCGGUUAGUCUUUUAAAUGGCAUAUAUAUACACACACCCCUAUAUAUAUAUAUAUAUA